RNAcentral lists this long non-coding RNA (209 nucleotides) under Ananas comosus (pineapple). RNAcentral describes it as "long non-coding RNA (ACOM_LNC000600)". Lineage: Eukaryota; Viridiplantae; Streptophyta; Magnoliopsida; Poales; Bromeliaceae. The record is from RNAcentral.
CUCAAUACCGCACGAGCAAUCAUAAGUCGCGUAGGCUAACUCCGGAGUGCCGGCUUGUAGGGAGCGACCCUCACAAGCAUGUGCGAAUGAGCACAAAUGGCAAGCAAGCAUAGUCAUCGUCUCAAGAACUCGAUCAUCAUGUCUCUAACAUGGUAAUAGUCACUAGCAACCCAACAGUCUAGUUCAAUGUCCAAUUGCGCAAGUGAAGG